Molecule: ribosomal RNA, 370 nt
Filed under: uncultured bacterium
Lineage: Bacteria
Description: bacterial SSU rRNA
Rfam family: Bacterial small subunit ribosomal RNA
Source: RNAcentral
GGUUAACGCUGGCGGCGUGCCUUACACAUGCAAGUCGAACGGGGCUAUCAGCGAUGGUAGCUUAGUGGCGAACGGGUGAGGAAGACGCAGGGACCUACGACCAGAGGGGGAUACCCGCUGGAAACGGCGGAUAAACCGCAUACGCCCGGGUGAAAGCCCGGGGAAAAGCACUACGGUGUUACUGGACGAGGGGACCUGCGGCCCAUCAGGUAGUUGGGGAGGUAACGGCUCACCAAGCCGACGACGGGGUAUCUGGCGUGAGAGCGCGAACAGGCACAAGGACACUGAGAGACGGGUCCUACUCCUACGGGAGGCAGCAGUGGGGAAUAUUGGACAAUGGCGAAAGCCUGAUCCAGCGACGCCGCGUGUC